UCAGUAGAACCCUUUUCAACACAAAGAAU
RNAcentral lists this non-coding RNA (29 nucleotides) under Mus musculus (house mouse). The record is from RNAcentral. Lineage: Eukaryota; Metazoa; Chordata; Mammalia; Rodentia; Muridae. RNAcentral also lists the same sequence under 1 other name.